This 429-nucleotide ribosomal RNA is filed under the name Actinomycetes bacterium. RNAcentral's name for it is "Actinobacteria bacterium partial 16S ribosomal RNA". It matches the Rfam family "Bacterial small subunit ribosomal RNA", at positions 355 to 776 of the family's 1533-position model. The record is from RNAcentral. Lineage: Bacteria; Bacillati; Actinomycetota; Actinomycetes.
UAGGGAAUCUUCCGCAAUGGGCGAAAGCCUGACGGAGCAACGCCGCGUGAGUGAUGAAGGUCUUCGGAUCGUAAAACUCUGUUAUUAGGGAAGAACAAAUGUGUAAGUAACUAUGCACGUCUUGACGGUACCUAAUCAGAAAGCCACGGCUAACUACGUGCCAGCAGCCGCGGUAAUACGUAGGUGGCAAGCGUUAUCCGGAAUUAUUGGGCGUAAAGCGCGCGUAGGCGGUUUUUUAAGUCUGAUGUGAAAGCCCACGGCUCAACAGUGGAGGGUCAUUGGAAACUGGAAAACUUGAGUGCAGAAGAGGAGAGUGGAAUUCCAUGUGUAGCGGUGAAAUGCGCAGAGAUAUGGAGGAACACCAGUGGCGAAGGCGACUUUCUGGUCUGUAACUGACGCUGAUGUGCGAAAGCGUGGGGAUCAAACAGG